This 72-nucleotide transfer RNA is filed under the name Maridesulfovibrio gilichinskyi. Its description in RNAcentral is "Desulfovibrio sp. K3S tRNA_Thr_TGT". It matches the Rfam family "tRNA". From Rfam's summary of the family: Transfer RNA (tRNA) molecules are approximately 80 nucleotides in length. Their secondary structure includes four short double-helical elements and three loops (D, anti-codon, and T loops). Further hydrogen bonds mediate the characteristic L-shaped molecular structure. tRNAs have two regions of fundamental functional importance: the anti-codon, which is responsible for specific mRNA codon recognition, and the 3' end, to which the tRNAs corresponding amino acid is attached (by aminoacyl-tRNA synthetases). tRNAs cope with the degeneracy of the genetic code in two manners: having more than one tRNA (with a specific anti-codon) for a particular amino acid; and 'wobble' base-pairing, i.e. permitting non-standard base-pairing at the 3rd anti-codon position. The record is from RNAcentral. Lineage: Bacteria; Pseudomonadati; Thermodesulfobacteriota; Desulfovibrionia; Desulfovibrionales; Desulfovibrionaceae.
GCCGGAAUAGCUCAAUGGUAGAGCACCUGUUUUGUAUUCAAAGGGUUGCGGGUUCAAGUCCUGCUUCCGGCU